RNAcentral lists this ribosomal RNA (862 nucleotides) under Aspergillus sp. RSP-8. Its description in RNAcentral is "SSU rRNA". It matches the Rfam family "Eukaryotic small subunit ribosomal RNA", at positions 573 to 1445 of the family's 1831-position model. The record is from RNAcentral. Lineage: Eukaryota; Fungi; Ascomycota; Eurotiomycetes; Eurotiales; Aspergillaceae.
GCGCGCGGUAAUUCCACCUCCAAUAGCGAAUUAAGUUGCUGCAGUUAAAAAGCUCGUAAUUGAACCUUGGGUCUGGCUGGCCGGUCCGCCUCACCGCCAGUACUGGUCCGGCAGGACCUUUCCUUCUGGGGAACCUCAUGGCCUUCACUGGCUGAGGGGGGAACCAAGAAUUUUACUGUGAAAAAAUUAAAGUGUUCAAAGCAGGCCUUUGCUCGAAUACAUUAGCAUGGAAUAAUAAAAUAAGACGUGCGGUUCUAUUUUGUUGGUUUCUAGGACCGCCGUAAUGAUUAAUAGGGAUAGUCGGGGGCGUCAGUAUUCAGCUGUCAAAGGUGAAAUUCUUGGAUUUGCUGAAGACUAACUACUGCGAAAGCAUUCGCCAAGGAUGUUUUCAUUAAUCAGGGAACGAAAGUUAGGGGAUCGAAGACGAUCAGAUACCGUCGUAGUCUUAACCAUAAACUAUGCCGACCAGGGAUCGGGCGGUGUUUCUAUGAUGACCCGCUCGGCACCUUACGAGAAAUCAAAGUUUUUGGGUUCUGGGGGGAGUAUGGUCGCAAGGCUGAAACUUAAAGAAAUUGACGGAAGGGCACCACAAGGCGUGGAGCCUGCGGCUUAAUUUGACUCAACACGGGGAAACUCACCAGGUCCAGACAAAAUAAGGAUUGACAGAUUGAGAGCUCUUUCUUGAUCUUUUGGAUGGUGGUGCAUGGCCGUUCUUAGUUGGUGGAGUGAUUUGUCUGCUUAAUUGCGAUAACGAACGAGACCUCGGCCCUUAAAUAGCCCGGUCCGCAUUUGCGGGCCGCUGGCUUCUUAGGGGACUAUCGCUCAAGCCGAAGAAAUGCCGGAAAGUAACACGUCAGAAGUC